AUUCGCGGCCUAUCAGCUUGUUGGUGAGGUAAUGGCUCACCAAGGCUUCGACGGGUAGCCGGCCUGAGAGGGCGACCGGCCACACUGGGACUGAGAUACGGCCCAGACUCCUACGGGAGGCAGCAGUGGGGAAUAUUGCACAAUGGGCGCAAGCCUGAUGCAGCAACGCCGCGUGCGGGAUGACGGCCUUCGGGUUGUAAACCGCUUUCAGUGGGGACGAAGCGCAAGUGACGGUACCCACAGAAGAAGGACCGGCUAACUACGUGCCAGCAGCCGCGGUGAUACGUAGGGUCCGAGCGUUGUCCGGAAUUAUUGGGCGUAAAGGGCUUGUAGGCGGUCCGUCGCGUCAGGAGUGAAAACUCGGGGCUUAACCCCGAGCCUGCUUUUGAUACGGGCGGACUAGAGGGAUGCAGGGGAGAACGGAAUUCCUGGUGGAGCGGUGGAAUGCGCAGAUAUCAGGAGGAACACCGGUGGCGAAGGCGGUUCUCUGGGCAUCACCUGACGCUGAGAAGCGAAAGCGUGGGGAGCAAACAGGCUUAGAUACCCUGGUAGUCCACGCCGUAAACGGUGGGCACUAGGUGUGGGGGACAUUCCACGUUCUCCGUGCCGAAGCUAACGCAUUAAGUGCCCCGCCUGGGGAGUACGGAAU
RNAcentral lists this ribosomal RNA (649 nucleotides) under uncultured Actinomycetes bacterium. RNAcentral's name for it is "bacterial SSU rRNA". It matches the Rfam family "Bacterial small subunit ribosomal RNA", at positions 229 to 888 of the family's 1533-position model. The record is from RNAcentral. Lineage: Bacteria; Bacillati; Actinomycetota; Actinomycetes.